This 236-nucleotide long non-coding RNA is filed under the name Elaeis guineensis (African oil palm). Its description in RNAcentral is "long non-coding RNA (EGUI_LNC064871)". Lineage: Eukaryota; Viridiplantae; Streptophyta; Magnoliopsida; Arecales; Arecaceae. The record is from RNAcentral.
UGUGAUAUAUUUGAUGCAUAACUUUCUAAAAACUUUAUAUUUUCCAAAAUUUCAUAAAAAAAAUUUUCUCAUAAGGAGACAUUGUGAAGCAUGCUGGGGGCAAAUAAGCCCUUCUAGAAUCUCAUUUUUCAGUCCAUAACUCUGAUCUUAUUUUCAUCUCUUGCAAAUCACGAUGAGCCCCCAAAUUAUCCUUUGAUUUCUUAUCAACAUUUAAUAAAGUACGCACAAGGUUACCA